GGCACUUUGGCCGAGUGGUCUAAGGCGCCGUGUUCAGGUAUUCGAUUGGUACGCCCGGUCGUCCCUCUUCGCGGUCUAGUAAUAGGCGAGGGUUCGAAUCCCUCAGGUGUCA
Conoideocrella luteorostrata is the source of this 112-nucleotide non-coding RNA. Lineage: Eukaryota; Fungi; Ascomycota; Sordariomycetes; Hypocreales; Clavicipitaceae. The record is from the annotation of a GenBank genome assembly.